Molecule: long non-coding RNA, 1281 nt
Filed under: Physcomitrium patens
Lineage: Eukaryota; Viridiplantae; Streptophyta; Bryopsida; Funariales; Funariaceae
Description: long non-coding RNA (PPAT_LNC006508)
Source: RNAcentral
GGGGGGGACUCGUAGUAAAAUAAAAAAAAUGCUUUAAUGAUUUGGGUCAAUGCACUGAAAAAAGUGGAUACUUUAUCAGAAAGUCAGAGGUCUUUGCCGGCGACAUAGUUGGAAUCUUCAUUCAUUGUGCGGAGGAAUAGUGUUAUGCAUUCACAUGUUAUUGUUGUUAGAAAUAAUAUUGCAAACUUGUUUUGUGUCAUAAUGUUAAAAAUAAUGUCAUUUUACCAUAGUUGCAACUGCGUAAUGGAAUACUAUUAAUCAUAUUGUGCGGAACUGUUGUAAUUCUCUGGCGUUAAAUUAAUUGAGGAUUGACUUAACAACAUGAGUGAUUGUGUUGUAAGUAUAGUAGCAAUCCUACAAAACACUCUAUCAUGAUGUGUUGAAUUUUGUAAUAUUCAUGCUUUUGUCUUUACAGUCAUUUUUUUAAAAUAACUUUCACAUGGGUUUCUAUUUCUAGUUCGAUAUUUUUUAAAGGUUUGUCACUCUAAAUUUUAUAGAUUGUGCUUGGAGCUUUUUGCUACUACACCUACUUAAGUUUAAACAGAAAAUUUAGAACAGAACUAUUGAAAAAAAAAAAAAAUGUUUCAAGUGAAUAGAGAACAGACAAAGAGAUUUUCAAACAACAUAGAUACCCUCUUGAAGGGGAAACAAAUAUAUAUAUAUAUAUAUAUAUAUAUAUAUAUAUAUAGUCCUAGGUAAUGGGCUUUAAUCAAAAUUAAAAAAGAAAAAAAAUGUAAAUCCACUCUACAUAACAUCAAUCCAAUUAAAACUGCAAGGAACAAAACAUCUAUUUAGCUUACAACCUUAUACCUAUACCAUGUUAGCAUCAUUUGGAUAUGUUACAAGAAACCCAAGAGUGUAAUGUUUUAGCUACUACAUAAGAUUCCAAUACUCAUCAACAAUGCAUUCAAGCAACAUCAAAAGAAAAAAAAUGCAACAAUUUUUACAUAACCAACUAUUGACAAAAUUAACCAACUAUUUUGAAACCUUUGUAUAAGUCAUUAAAAGACUUGGAGGCAACUAAAAAAACACCUUGGUAAAAAAAUAGACACAACAAGGCAUAGGAACAAACAAUCACAUCUCUCUACUAUUUAUUUAUUUAUUUAUUUAUUUUAAUAAGAACCAAUUGGAAAUUUGACAUGCUUUAGGAAGGAGCAACAAUAUUUGGUUCUAAUCUCACAAUCAUCAAUUUAUUAUAAGCAUUAGUGCUCUAAUAACAUUGCAUGGCAUUGCUUAGCUUUUUUGUCACCUUACUAUUAUGUCACAACCAGUUAACAAGAC